Long non-coding RNA from Vitis vinifera (wine grape), 936 nucleotides. RefSeq lists it as uncharacterized. The transcript has 3 exons. NCBI's taxonomy places the organism in Eukaryota, Viridiplantae, Streptophyta, Magnoliopsida, Vitales, Vitaceae. The record is from RefSeq and is a predicted model, not a curated record.
GGACCCGACUUUGAGACCGGUCAAACCCUAGAUCGACCUCUCUCUUUGUCCCUCGCUCUUUCAACCCUGAAAAUUUUCUCCGUCAAGGAGCCAUGGCGAAGAACAGAAACAAGAAUAAGAGAAGCGGCGUGGCGCCGAUGGACACCACCGAGCCCACUCUCACAGAUAUCCCACAAUGGAUGGACACGUCAGAUUCGGUUGCUACGACAGCCAUGCAUUUCCCAGCUUCUGGUGCUCCCAUUAAGAGAAAUAAAGAUCAGGUAGAGGGCAAACCAAGGAGAAGAAGAAACCAUCAAAACCAAAGAAGACCCAUACCCCAAGGCAACUGUCAGUAAGGCCCAUCCUAUUUUGGUCAAUCGUUUUGCUGGGAUGAUCAAUACGGGCAGCCGAUGGAGGAUGGGCGAUAGCAGAAUCUGCAAAACCCCAAUUACUAGGCUCAUGAAGACCAUAAAAUGGAACGUCUUGGAGAUAAGGCUGUUGGUUUUGUUUGCAGUAGCAGUUAUUGGAGGGUUUAGAAUCCCUCCAAUGGAGAUGAGACUUAUGAGUAACCCAGCCUUGAAAACAGCUUUUUGAACUUCAGCCGGAGCCACCUGUUGAGGGGGUGCCUCAGCUUCAAUGUUGGGCUGAUCAAUUGAUGGUUCUUCAACUGUUAUGUUGAGCUGAUCGAUUUGUGGUUCUUCAGCAGCUGCCAUGGCUCUCAACUUGAUUGCCUCCUUUUUUUGGUCCCUUCCCUUUGAUUUGUGGUGUAUUUAAAGGCAGAAUCGGCCCCCAUGUAUCAAUUCACCAUUUCUGACAAUGACCCCCCAUGUAUCAAUUCACCAUUUCUGACAAUGACCCCCCAUGUAUCAAUUCACCAUUUCUGACAAUGAGCCCCCAUGUUUAUGGUUUCCAUGUUUAUUGUUUGAAAUAAUCACAUGCAUUUCAUAUAUAUCUAAA